RNAcentral lists this transfer RNA (65 nucleotides) under Harmonia axyridis. RNAcentral's name for it is "tRNA-Thr". The record is from RNAcentral. Lineage: Eukaryota; Metazoa; Arthropoda; Insecta; Coleoptera; Coccinellidae.
AUUUUAAUAAUUUAAAAAAAAUACUGGUCUUGUAAACCAGCUUUAAGAUUUAAUCUUUUAAAAUA